CGUGUAGGCGGGUUAAUAAGUCAGAUGUGAAAUUCCAUGGCUCAACUGUGGCGCUGCAUCUGAAACUAUUAAUCUUGAGUGAUGGAGAGGAAAGCGGAAUUCCUAGUGUAGCGGUGAAAUGCGUAGAUAUUAGGAGGAACACCAGUGGCGAAGGCGGCUUUCUGGACAUUAACUGACGCUGAGGCGCGAAAGCAGUGGGGAGCAAACAGGAUUAGAUACCCUGGUAGUCCACGCUGUAAACGAUGGAUACUAGGUGUAGGAGGUAUCGACCCCUUCUGUGCCGGAGUUAACACAAUAAGUACUCCCACCGUGGGGAGUACGGCCGCAAGGUUGAA
This 335-nucleotide ribosomal RNA is filed under the name uncultured bacterium. Its description in RNAcentral is "bacterial SSU rRNA". It matches the Rfam family "Bacterial small subunit ribosomal RNA", at positions 568 to 898 of the family's 1533-position model. The record is from RNAcentral.